Molecule: ribosomal RNA, 92 nt
Filed under: Pleosporaceae sp. KUC21239
Lineage: Eukaryota; Fungi; Ascomycota; Dothideomycetes; Pleosporales; Pleosporaceae
Description: partial 18S ribosomal RNA
Source: RNAcentral
AAGGAUCAUUACAUAUAAAUGGUGGACUGGGGGCUCCCAAGCAUCAACACUUGUGUCCGACGCUUGCCCAGUCUGCUUGAAUAUUCACCCAU